Molecule: ribosomal RNA, 497 nt
Filed under: uncultured bacterium
Lineage: Bacteria
Description: partial 16S ribosomal RNA
Rfam family: Bacterial small subunit ribosomal RNA
Source: RNAcentral
GAUGAACGCUGGCGGCGUGGCUAAUACAUGCAAGUCGAGCGAACAGACGAGGAGCUUGCUCCUCUGACGUUAGCGGCGGACGGGUGAGUAACACGUGGAUAACCUACCUAUAAGACUGGGAUAACUUCGGGAAACCGGAGCUAAUACCGGAUAAUAUAUUGAACCGCAUGGUUCAAUAGUGAAAGACGGUUUUGCUGUCACUUAUAGAUGGAUCCGCGCCGCAUUAGCUAGUUGGUAAGGUAACGGCUUACCAAGGCAACGAUGCGUAGCCGACCUGAGAGGGUGAUCGGCCACACUGGAACUGAGACACGGUCCAGACUCCUACGGGAGGCAGCAGUAGGGAAUCUUCCGCAAAGGGCGAAAGCCUGACGGAGCAACGCCGCGUGAGUGAUGAAGGUCUUCGGAUCGUAAAACUCUGUUAUUAGGGAAGAACAAAUGUGUAAGUAACUAUGCACGUCUUGACGGUACCUAAUCAGAAAGCCACGGCUAACUACGUG